This 113-nucleotide transfer RNA is filed under the name Methanocaldococcus lauensis. RNAcentral's name for it is "tRNA-Met". It matches the Rfam family "tRNA". Rfam says of the family: Transfer RNA (tRNA) molecules are approximately 80 nucleotides in length. Their secondary structure includes four short double-helical elements and three loops (D, anti-codon, and T loops). Lineage: Archaea; Methanobacteriati; Methanobacteriota; Methanococci; Methanococcales; Methanocaldococcaceae. The record is from RNAcentral.
GCCGAGGUGGCUUAGCUGGUUAUAGCGCCCGGCUCAUACGGAUAUCCCAGGCAUUUACGCCUGGGUCCUGGGAAACCGGGAGGUCGAGGGUUCGAAUCCCUCCCUCGGCACCA